Molecule: ribosomal RNA, 832 nt
Filed under: uncultured Streptococcus sp.
Lineage: Bacteria; Bacillati; Bacillota; Bacilli; Lactobacillales; Streptococcaceae
Description: bacterial SSU rRNA
Rfam family: Bacterial small subunit ribosomal RNA
Source: RNAcentral
GCAAGUAGAACGCUGAAGAGAGAGCUUGCUCUUCUUGGAUGAGUUGCGAACGGGUGAGUAACGCGUAGGUAACCUGCCUUGUAGCGGGGGAUAACUAUUGGAAACGAUAGCUAAUACCGCAUAACAAUGGAUGACACAUGUCAUUUAUUUGAAAGGGGCAAUUGCUCCACUACAAGAUGGACCUGCGUUGUAUUAGCUAGUAGGUGAGGUAAUGGCUCACCUAGGCGACGAUACAUAGCCGACCUGAGAGGGUGAUCGGCCACACUGGGACUGAGACACGGCCCAGACUCCUACGGGAGGCAGCAGUAGGGAAUCUUCGGCAAUGGGGGCAACCCUGACCGAGCAACGCCGCGUGAGUGAAGAAGGUUUUCGGAUCGUAAAGCUCUGUUGUAAGUCAAGAACGGGUGUGAGAGUGGAAAGUUCACACUGUGACGGUAGCUUACCAGAAAGGGACGGCUAACUACGUGCCAGCAGCCGCGGUAAUACGUAGGUCCCGAGCGUUGUCCGGAUUUAUUGGGCGUAAAGCGAGCGCAGGCGGUUUGAUAAGUCUGAAGUUAAAGGCUGUGGCUCAACCAUAGUUCGCUUUGGAAACUGUCAAACUUGAGUGCAGAAGGGGAGAGUGGAAUUCCAUGUGUAGCGGUGAAAUGCGUAGAUAUAUGGAGGAACACCGGUGGCGAAAGCGGCUCUCUGGUCUGUAACUGACGCUGAGGCUCGAAAGCGUGGGGAGCGAACAGGAUUAGAUACCCUGGUAGUCCACGCCGUAAACGAUGAGUGCUAGGUGUUGGAUCCUUUUCCGGGAUUCAGUGCCGCAGCUAACGCAUUAAGCACUCCG